RNAcentral lists this ribosomal RNA (217 nucleotides) under uncultured bacterium. RNAcentral describes it as "partial 16S ribosomal RNA". It matches the Rfam family "Bacterial small subunit ribosomal RNA", at positions 326 to 539 of the family's 1533-position model. The record is from RNAcentral.
ACGUUCGACACCUACGGGGGCAGCAGUGAGGAAUAUUGGUCAAUGGGCGCUAGCCUGAACCAGCCAAGUAGCGUGAAGGAUGAAGGCUCUAUGGGUCGUAAACUUCUUUUAUAUAAGAAUAAAGUGCAGUAUGUAUACUGUUUUGUAUGUAUUAUAUGAAUAAGGAUCGGCUAACUCCGUGCCAACAGCCGCGGUAAUCUGAGCGGGCUGGCAAGGC